UGAGAUAAAAACUUCAAGUGGGUUAGGAAAGGAAGUAGGGGUAUAAGAGGGAUUUGAUCCUUAAGAAAUCUGAUAAUAAUCCCCUAGAACAUUCUAGUGAGGGAUUAAAACACAAUUUCUGCCUCAAACUUGAGGCACAAGUCAGGAAAUGAGGGAUCAUUUAAGAAAAGCUGAAAACUAUGAGGGAUUAAAACACAAUUUCUGCCUCAAACUUGAGGCACAAGUCAAGAAAUGAAGGACCAUUUAGGCAAAGUGAAAAUUUGAAGCAAGGACUAAAAGAUAAAACAAGAGAAAAGCUGAUGCCCUAAGUCUCAUUAUAAAAGAAACUCCCUGACGACACUUUGAAAGAUCCGGAAUUUUCCCUUUGAAUUCUAAAAAUAAAAAAUACAUAUGAGCAUCUUUUUAUAUCGGUGAGAAUUGAUCAGUGCUAUAUUUGAUCCUUUUGAGGUUUAAUUCGCUCAAAAACUCUUUUGAAAGUCCUGGGUCUACUGUUUGAUUGGCUUUUAUUUUCUUAGUUGGUUCCUUACAUUUACUCAUAAGCUCUUGCUUCUUAUACUGAAUUACAGGUACCUUCAAUGUUCCUUAAUGUUUUGAAGCUCAACUAAAAAUGCAUCCUUAGCAUGAAGAUCUAUUUCUAUUCUUAUUUUUGUAUUGAAUCCCCACCCUAUUCUCCCCCUCCUUUAGCGUUAAUACAUUUACCUUGUUAUAAUUAGACAUUUGGACUGUUUCAUUAUGUAAUAACUAAACAUUAGAGACUGCUU
Molecule: long non-coding RNA, 761 nt
Filed under: Nicotiana benthamiana
Lineage: Eukaryota; Viridiplantae; Streptophyta; Magnoliopsida; Solanales; Solanaceae
Description: long non-coding RNA (NBEN_LNC006421)
Source: RNAcentral